RNAcentral lists this ribosomal RNA (453 nucleotides) under Inflatozaena inflatus. RNAcentral's name for it is "eukaryotic LSU rRNA". Lineage: Eukaryota; Metazoa; Arthropoda; Insecta; Coleoptera; Carabidae. The record is from RNAcentral.
CAAAAGAUAAUCUAUUUUUCUUUUGACCCGGACUUAUAAUACACUGACUUAUUUAAAUGACGAUAUAUAUAUUAUUAUAAUUUUAGGGAUAAUUAUAAUAAUAAUAAUUAUUAUUAUUAUUAUAAUUUGAACUAAACAUUAUAAUUGUCUACAACAAUUUGUUGACUGUAAGUAAUAGCAGGACCCGUCUUGAAACACGGACCAAGGAGUCUAGCAUAUAUGCAAGUCUUUGGACUUUUAAAUAUAUCCAAUAGGCAUAAUUAACGUGAAUGUUAUUUGUUUUACAUAUAUAUGUAUAUAUAUAUGUAUAUAUUAUAUUAUUAGUUCUAUAUUACAUUUAUGUGAUAUAGUCUAUAUUAUAUAUAUACUAUAUAUAUACAUAUAUAUAUGCAUAAUAAACUAAGGGAAGAUAAGUGGUUUUUAAAUGCUGCUUCGCAUUCCCGGGGCGUUCCA